CUGGGCCGAGUAACAACAUUGGUAGGAGGCGCCAUUUUGGUUUCUUAAUCUUUUAGGAUCAGCUUCUCGACAGCAAAUCUGUUUCCAUCGGGAUCUCUAAAGCAUAAUGACUGAUUCCAAGUACUUUACAACGACCAAAAAAGGGGAGAUUUUUGAGCUCAAGGCUGAGCUGAACAGUGA
Molecule: long non-coding RNA, 180 nt
Organism: Orbicella faveolata
Lineage: Eukaryota; Metazoa; Cnidaria; Anthozoa; Scleractinia; Merulinidae
Source: RefSeq, a predicted model, not a curated record